Long non-coding RNA from Homo sapiens (human), 227 nucleotides. RefSeq lists it as uncharacterized. The transcript has 2 exons. The record is from RefSeq and is a predicted model, not a curated record. Lineage: Eukaryota; Metazoa; Chordata; Mammalia; Primates; Hominidae.
CACUAAAUUAGAAGGUGCGCAGGUGGGCUCAGGAAUCUCCAUGUCAGCACAUGCAUCUCUGAGGACCACUGCUCCAGAUAAUAAUAAAGUACUUGAAGUCAAGAAUCAUCUUAUUCACCUAUGUCAUUCCCUUUGCAUAUACAGUUAGAACCAUGUCCUGAAUGUAUUGGGCCCUCAAGAAACAGUGGAAUAAACUGCAAUAAAAGCAUCUAAUUUGGAAAACUGUG